This 253-nucleotide ribosomal RNA is filed under the name uncultured bacterium. RNAcentral's name for it is "partial 16S ribosomal RNA". It matches the Rfam family "Bacterial small subunit ribosomal RNA", at positions 524 to 776 of the family's 1533-position model. The record is from RNAcentral.
UACGUAGGGGGCAAGCGUUGUCCGGAUUUAUUGGGCGUAAAGAGCGUGUAGGCGGCUUUACAGGUCCGUUGUGAAAACUCGAGGCUCAACCUCGAGACGCCGGUGGAAACCGUAAGGCUAGAGUCCGGAAGAGGAGAGUGGAAUUCCUGGUGUAGCGGUGAAAUGCGCAGAUAUCAGGAAGAACACCCGUGGCGAAGGCGGCUCUCUGGGGCGGUACUGACGCUGAGACGCGAAAGCGUGGGGAGCGAACAGG